RNAcentral lists this RNase P RNA (317 nucleotides) under Bacteroidota bacterium. Its description in RNAcentral is "Bacteroidetes bacterium (freshwater metagenome) partial RNase P RNA component class A". It matches the Rfam family "Bacterial RNase P class A", at positions 1 to 299 of the family's 367-position model. Rfam says of the family: Ribonuclease P (RNase P) is a ubiquitous endoribonuclease, found in archaea, bacteria and eukarya as well as chloroplasts and mitochondria. Its best characterised activity is the generation of mature 5'-ends of tRNAs by cleaving the 5'-leader elements of precursor-tRNAs. The record is from RNAcentral. Lineage: Bacteria; Pseudomonadati; Bacteroidota.
CCGCCUUGCCGCCUUGAAGCGCUUCGGCACCAAAGGGAGGAAAGUCCGGACAUCACAGAGCACCGCGCUACCUAACGGGUAGGCAGUCCACGGGGAACUUGGGGCUGACAGCUAGUGCCACAGAGAGGGAAACCGCCAACGGAUGCAUCGUACGAGUACCGGGGGCAAGGGUGAAAAGGUGGGGUAAGAGCCCACCAGCGUCAAAAGCAAUUUUGAUGGCUUGGUAAACCUCGCGGGAUGAAAUGCCAUGUAGGCUGGCGCUUGAAGACGGCUCGUCUGAGCCAGCGGGUAGGCAGAUAGAGCAGUUGGGUGACCAA